CUUACAAAUCGUUCUUUAUACGAGACGGGAUGGGCAGUUCAGCGACACAAAAUGGCUGUGAGAUAACCAUAGCGACACGUGCUGAAUGGGGAGCUCGUGCCCCAAAGGCCACCACUCCACUCAACGAGCCAGUUGGAAUUGUCAUCAUUCACCACACGUCCAUGACAUACUGUCAAAACUUCGACGAGUGUUUGGUUGAGAUGAAAAAACAUUCAGAAUUUCCAUAUGGACACUCGAGGUUGGGACGACAUUGGCUACAAUUACUUGGUGGGAGCGGACGGAUCUAUAUACGAGGCCCGAGGGUGGGGUAUACAGGGGGCCCACGUCCGCAGCUGGAAUGACGUGUCGGUAGGGAUCAGCAUCAUGGGGGAUUUCCAACUACAACAGCCGGACAAACGCUCUCUGGACAGUGUCCAAUCCCUGAUUACCUGCGGGGUGACACGAGGCUACAUCAGACCCGAUUAUAAACUGUAUGGUCAUCGAGAUAUGAAUCCCAACACCACAUGUCCAGGGGACAGACUGUAUGCAGCAAUACAAACAUGGCCACAUUACGACAGUAAUAAGCCUGUUCACCCCAAAAAGAUGAUAUGAAGGUCUGUUAGGUUUCUCGUUUUAUAUGUAUAUAUAUAAACAAGAUUAUUGUAAACAGUAUUAUGUUUUUCUUGUUAUAUGUAUAAUAAGUUCAUCGCAAUCAGUAUUAGGUUCCUUUUUAUUUUUUAUAAAUUUAAGUACCGGUAUGUUCACUGAAAUUAGUAUUAGGUUUCUUGUUAUAAAUAUGAGUUAAUUGUAAGCUGUAUUAUUCUGAAAUGAAAUGUUCAUAUUUAGAAGCCGUAAGAAGUGUCUUUAUAGCUCAUUGAGGCCAUGAGUUCGAAUCCCAGGCUCUUCCUGGGAACUCAAUCCCAUUUGUGUUGAAUAAUGUGUUAUAUAAUUAAUCACUGUGGAAUUUGUGGUAGACUAAAUUGUACAGUUCUGAGGUUAGAUGCCCUGAAGCUGUCGUUGCUUUUUUUUGCUUGGACACAUUUGGUAUAGGCUCAACAGAAGUAAUGCCACAGAAUGUGGUUGUAGUACUUGUAUAUUCGGGGACCAACCACAUCUGUUGCUACCAUAGCUACCAAGACAAGUUGUAACGACACCGCGCAUUUGCUUGUCGAUUAGUUGUUGUGCAAAUGUAACUGAUUUGAGGAAUAAAACAAA
This is a long non-coding RNA of Liolophura sinensis, 1194 nucleotides long. RefSeq lists it as uncharacterized. NCBI's taxonomy places the organism in Eukaryota, Metazoa, Mollusca, Polyplacophora, Chitonida, Chitonidae. The transcript is spliced from 3 exons. The record is from RefSeq and is a predicted model, not a curated record.